GGCUUUUCAACUUGGUAUCAAUUUGAAGAAGGGGAGGUAACCUAUGGAUAGGGGAAAGAACGUCGUUAAAUAAUUUUUGAUAACUUAUCAUCGUGCCUACAUAAUACCAUUACUAAUACUAUGUCCAAAAUUCAAGAGAAACCUAGUCAGAACUGGAAUGACUUUGUAAAAGAAUAUUUGUUGACAGAAUAUGAGCCUACUGUAUCUGGUGCAUGCAUGUCAACUAAACAAGGCAUACCAGUACUUAAUUAUGGAGAACUUAGCCAUCUGAAACAGGCUGACAUGAAAUAUUUUCUCUCCUUGUUCAAUCCUAAACCUAAACAGGAGGAAGAAUUUACUGAAAUAUAUUUACCAAAUACUCGAUUCAAAUUCAGAGUUAUUUGUCAAACAUAUAAGAGUAUAUAUGGAACUGCUUGUGAUAG
This is a long non-coding RNA of Patella vulgata (common limpet), 422 nucleotides long. RefSeq lists it as uncharacterized. The record is from RefSeq and is a predicted model, not a curated record. NCBI's taxonomy places the organism in Eukaryota, Metazoa, Mollusca, Gastropoda, Patellidae. The transcript has 5 exons.